GACGAACGCUGGCGGCGUGCUUAACACAUGCAAGUCGAACGGAAAGGCCCUGCUUGCAGGGUCCUCGAGUGGCGAACGGGUGAGUAACACGUGGGUGAUCUGCCCUGUACUUCGGGAUAAGCCUGGGAAACUGGGUCUAAUACCGGAUAGGAGCCACUUUUAGCGUGUUGGUUGGAAAGUUUUUUCGGGGUAGGACGAGCUCGCGGCCUAUCGGCCUGUUGGUGGGGUAAUGGCCUACCAAGGCGCCGACGGGUAGCCGGCCUGUGAGGAUGGACGGCCACAUUGGGACUGAGAGGAGGCCGAGACGCCUAAGGGAGGCAGAAGUGGGGAAGACUGAACCAGGGGCGCCAGCCUGGUGAAGAGACGCCGCGUGGGGGAUGACGGUCUUCGGGUUAUAAAAUCCGUUCGGUAGGGACGAAGCUUUUUGUGACGGUACCUAGAUAAGAAGCACCGGCUAACUACGUG
RNAcentral lists this ribosomal RNA (465 nucleotides) under uncultured bacterium. RNAcentral's name for it is "partial 16S ribosomal RNA". It matches the Rfam family "Bacterial small subunit ribosomal RNA", at positions 28 to 507 of the family's 1533-position model. The record is from RNAcentral.